GUUUCUGUAUAGAUAACAAUAUCCUGUUUCCAGUUACGCAAACACUUAACAUUUCGUUUAUAAAUAACUUUGAAUGUGAUGUCAUCGUGAUGAUUUCAAUAAAAUGCAACAGGGAGGGAUGGAAAAUUCAUUGUUUUGCGCGAGGUUUGAACUCGCAUAAAAGGAUUCGGCCAUUUGGGGUCGUCACCCUCUAGAACAAUUUACCAUGGACUGCAUCACUCACGAC
This is a non-coding RNA of Paramuricea clavata, 226 nucleotides long. Lineage: Eukaryota; Metazoa; Cnidaria; Anthozoa; Malacalcyonacea; Plexauridae. The record is from the annotation of a GenBank genome assembly.